Molecule: ribosomal RNA, 289 nt
Filed under: uncultured bacterium
Lineage: Bacteria
Description: partial 16S ribosomal RNA
Rfam family: Bacterial small subunit ribosomal RNA
Source: RNAcentral
GUGGAUUAGAUACCCUGGUAGUCCAUGCCGUAAACGUUGGGCACUAGGUGUGGGGGACAUUCCACGUUUUCCGCGCCGUAGCUAACGCAUUAAGUGCCCCGCCUGGGGAGUACGGCCGCAAGGCUAAAACUCAAAGGAAUUGACGGGGGCCCGCACAAGCGGCGGAGCAUGCGGAUUAAUUCGAUGCAACGCGAAGAACCUUACCAAGGCUUGACAUGUGCCAGACCGCUCCAGAGAUGGGGUUUCCCUUCGGGGCUGGUUCACAGGUGGUGCACGGUUGUCGUCAACU